CCCAGGUCGGCUGACCGAGCUGACUGUCUCUACGGCUGGCUGGCUGGCUGGCUUUGCCGGCGCAGCCACCCAGCCGGCCACCUUCCUCUUCUCCCGCGUGUGUGCCGCCACUCGGCCGGGGUUUACCUGGCGUUACCUGCCAGCCUGUAGCCUCAGUUCACUCACGUCACUUCGAGCAACCGGUUCGGAGUCCUCUCGGUGUCCGCGCGCGCUUGCACUCGACUUUAAAAGCCUUUCCUCUCGUACCUGCCUUUCUUUCCUCCGCGUAUGUACGCACGUAAUCGCGCAACUCUUCUUCUUCGUCUUUGUCCUCGAUUCGUCUUUUCUUCUUCUUCAUCCUUUUCUUCGUUUACCAUCUUUUCCCGUUUCUUUUCUCUUCCGCGUGCGCGUCGUUCGUACUGUCGGAUAUAUGUUGAUAUUAUUUAACAUUGGUGCGCGAACUGUAUCCUCUAGGAGAAAACGGUCGAUUGCGUCAAGACUUUUGCGAUCGCUGAAAUUGCGUUUUUUUUUUCGCGCCAACUAUGGAGAGACUUGGCUGUGACUCGACCGGUUCGGACAACAGUGAAAUUUUGACAGACCUCUCAUAGCGGUACGUACCUGCGGAAGAAAAGGAGACGGGCACGACCAGCCUAGAGAGAAUUGUAAGGAGGAGGUCAUUACCGAUAGCGAUCGGCAUCAGAUCGAAAUCGAUCGACGGUCAGAUCAACGGUAACUUUAUGGCUGCGAGGCAAAAGAUCGAACGAAAUUGCAAUGCGUUCUCUAAACGCAUUCGUAGAGGAAACGAUUAUAUCCCGGACUGAAUAUCGGUGUUUUUUGUUGUCGGUGGUAAUGAUCGCCGCGGUGAAAUCUAUUUCUUUGGAUCCGCGAAGGGGCACAUUCCCAACGGUUUCUCUUUCUUGUGUAUCCGAGAUUUUCAUCGGGUCAGUGUCCUCGAGAAUCGGCGACCGUUAUUCGCCGGCUCCGACCUCAGUACGAAAAACAUGGACUCGCUGAGAAAUCGCGCAAUAAGAACGGAAGCAUCAUCGGGACAGAAGAAUGAUGCCAGUCGAUGACAAGCGUUUAUAAGUUUCUUCCUACAUAUGAUGACGUAAAUCCAAAAUUAUCAUCUUCCUCUAUGAUAAAGCGAAUCCUUGGUGUUUCGCGUAAGUGAACGUCGCUUUGUCUCCGCGCGAUACGAAUUACAAACGGCUUUCUAAGUAUCAAAUGUAGCGUAAUACUUAAGAGACUCUAGGCGAAUAAUCCCGCGAGGUUCUGUCGUAAUAUAAGAGGAACGUGAUCGUUGCCGGAUCGUUGGAAAUUACGUAACUUUAUAUGCAGUAUGAGAACACGCGUAUCGGAUAAAAUUGUAAAUGCAAGUUUUCUGGCCUUUAGUCUGUCGCCUAUAUCACUUUUUUAAAUAUGCAAAUGUGACACACGUGCUGCAAUUCAUCAACUCGUUCGCGGUAAUAUUGUUUCUAACAGCGAAAGUCUCCACAUGAUUUAAUAAGAUUUCGAAAGUUAUGAAGUGAAGUGUCGGGGCCAUUGUCCCGGGACUCGUUUGAUAUUUUAUUGUUUUCACAGACUCAUCCCUCUUCUCUCCCACUACCAAUUAUUAUCCUCUUUUCCUUGAUUCAUUUAUUUUCUCAUCCUAGAUAUCAUUGCGUCACCGUGAAAUCCUUUCGUCACGGUACCAAGGUGCUAUUCUCUAAUCCGAGAAGAAACUUUUUAUUCGCUCAAAUUGUAUCAUGUUUUUUC
Molecule: long non-coding RNA, 1734 nt
Filed under: Camponotus floridanus (Florida carpenter ant)
Lineage: Eukaryota; Metazoa; Arthropoda; Insecta; Hymenoptera; Formicidae
Description: uncharacterized LOC112638456
Source: RNAcentral